Molecule: long non-coding RNA, 5879 nt
Filed under: Sus scrofa (pig)
Lineage: Eukaryota; Metazoa; Chordata; Mammalia; Artiodactyla; Suidae
Description: lncRNA (ENSSSCG00035009060.1)
Source: RNAcentral
UGUUUUUAAAUGGCACAUCCCUACCUUCUGGCCACAUAAAAGUGGGGCAGGCUCAUCUUGUGUAUUUCCUGCCCCCGUCCUGGAAUCAGACAUCUUUCUAAGGAUUCUCGAUUCUUUGUUGGCGAUUAGUAUUAGAAACCAAGACCUUCAUGCUUGGUGAGUAUGCGACUAACUUUUACAAAGAUAGUCUAUAGAAUUGUUCAUUAACUUUUUUUCCCUUUUUUUUUUUUUUUUUUUUUUUUGGAUUUUUAGGGCUGCACCUGCGGCAUAUGGAAGUUUCCAGGCUAGGGGUCGAAUCUGAGCUUCAUUCAGCGGCUGGCCUACGUCACAGCCACUGUAACGUGGCAUCCGAGCCGCGUCUGCAACCUACACUACAGCUCACAGCUACGCCAGAUCCUUAACCCACUGAGCAAGGCCAGGGAUCAAACCUGCGUCCUCAUGGAUGGGAGUCUGAUUCAUUUCCGCUGAGCUAUGACGGGAACGCCCUCAUUAACUUUCUCAAAAGCAAAUGCGAGUGCUAUUUUAGCUUUGUGCAGCUCCCACCCUUCCUCUUCUCCUGUAUUAUUCGUCCCAUUUCACAAUAUUCCUAGAUGACCACUGUAUUCUUUCUUCACUCUAGUCAGCGGAGGACAUGCAGAUGCCCUUCGGUUCAGGUUGUCCAAUGUCAAGACUAGCAAGGUUAGAACAAAACCACAUACAAAAAGCAUCCUACGCAUCUGAAAUGUGAAUCACCAUUCCCACGCUGAUGCGUGCACUCUCUUGGUUGAAUAUGACCUCUGGAGAGAGGUUAUCUUUUGCUGCUAUAUAUGACAAAAUCAGUCAUAAAUAAAACUCCUAAGGAAUUAAAUGUAGAACCUUUAGAUCACCUAGAUCACUACUGCUUGAUAAUAAUGGCACAGAGGAUUGAGAAUUGAGGAUAAAAAUAAGAUUCUAAAAGGAGGGGGAGCUGAAACUUCCAGCCACUGUUAUGCUCCCCCCCCUUUUUUUUUCAAAAAAAGCACAGAGUAAUUCAUCGUGCUAAAUGAUCUGCGCUAGUUUGAAGAAAAGAGGAUGCCCCAGCAAAAAAUAAAAAUAAAAAAAGAAAAUCAUGUGUUUAUUAUUGUUUACUCCCACAUCAACUAUAGUUCUGUCAUCAUCUCCCAUCCCUGGCUAGCUGGAAAGCUAAAUUUUGUUGAUGCUAGCUUUUUGGCUAAUGAACAUAGGUCUGAUGUUCUCUUAAUUCUGAUAUCAGUUAUAAAUUCAGUUGAAUCCAUGACAAUCAGGCCCAAAUUAUACUUAGAUCUGUUAAAGAUGGAGCACCCAGCCUAUAAAUAGCAAUGACAUUUUCAAAGAAAAUAGAGCUCUUCAAGCAGCAUUACAAUUUUUUUUUCUUAGUGAAAAUGACUGCUAUGGACCAGGUGCUUUACAUAAAUAUGAAUUAUUUUAUUGAGUUCUCUGUGGUCGUCCUGAAUCAAGCACUCUAAAUUCCAUUCUAAAAAUGAAGUUUAAGUGAUUUGUCCACUCAUCCAUGAACAUGCAGCAGAGUCCAGAUUGAAAGACUUUUUUUUUUUUCCCCUAAAAUUCCCAGAGAGUGUAGACCCCGUCUGUGUAUUUCAGUAUUCCAGCAGGAAACCCAACCUGCAGAUUAGGGUAAUCCAUGGAAGAGUUAAAAAUAGACUCCCAAAGGCACAGGGAGGCAGUAAGGAGACCACAAAGGCACUGCCCCAGGCGGGGCACUGCAGAGUUGAACCACGGGUUAUGACCAGCCAGAGGCAACCCACCCACCCUGCCCUCCACCCACAGCAAAGGAGUCAGGGUGAGAGACACUGUCUUUAUGUUCAUCCUGCCACCCGAUACCCUGAUUAGGUCCUCUGUGGGCCAACUCCAACCAAAAGGUAUAGAUGGGGGGUGGUCCUUCAUGUUCUGCCUACAAGAGCAGAGAGCAGGAUGGGAGUGGUGGGCAGUGCUUGAGAAGAGGCAAACAGAAUAGUUCAUCAAAUGCUUGAUCAUAAAACCGACAUAGGCUCCACAUUCAUUUAAAUAUGCUGAAUGUUUACUCUCUUGAAAACAAACUUGAAAGGCAGCAGCAAAAGACCUUUGCACUGACUCUUUCUAAAUGGGUAAGAAUCAGAGGUGAGUUCGUUCAUGGGGGAAGGAAAAAAAAAAAUCCCUAGGAAAAACACAGAAACAACGUGGGAAACUUUGCUGCUUGACAUGGUGAAGCCAAAGCAAUGCCCUGUAGUCCUCGAGUUUCAUUUUGCUUUGUUUUGAAGUUAGGACUCUCCAGGCAUCCCUUGCUGCUAGGUGAAGCAAUGCUGAGUCAUGAGAAGUUAUUCGAGAAGUUACUCCUGAAGAACUGUGGCUCUAGCUCUGUUACUGUGUGGUCCAGCGUGCUUAGGGAAGUGAUUUAAUAGCCUAGUUUCUUUCUCUCACUCUGCUACAAUACCUAUACCUAAGGCCACAUACGCAAUUAUUUAUCAAGCUAAUAAUAUUACAUCAGAUCAGCACACUUCUCUGUUCAUUUUAACAGAUUUUAAUCAGGAAAUCCAUUUCUCUGUUCAUCUUAACAGAUUGUUAUUGUUUUUAUUUUCAUUGUCUUGUUUUCCAGUGUAAAUUGUCUAAAAUACUUAGAAAUAUACAAGGAAAAGGUCCUCGAUAGAUACAAAUAAAGAUUUAAGCUUUUGCAAUUCAAUAACCCAAUAAUCAAUAAUCUUUUUUUUUUUUUUGUCUUUUGUCCUUUUAGGGCCACACCCAUAGCAUACGGAGGUUCCCAGGUGUGCCUCUGAAAAGCAAAAGUAAAAUGAAAUAAAAAAUGUUUAAAAAGGCUAUAAUAUCAAGUACAUAAAUAAUGUCCAAGUAAGUAGAACUAUAGUAGCUGCUUUGAAAGAAACAAAUCAGAUUUUUGAUUAAAAAAUAAUGAGAGGGCAGUCUACGGUAUUUAGGGUGGCUAAUAAAGGCCUCUCUGAAGUUUAAGCUGAGACCUGAAUGAGCAGCCAACCAAGAAAAACAGCCCCUUGGAGAGAAAAGGUGGAUCUAAGCGUAGGGAGCCUCAGUUUUAAAACAUUCUGGUGGUGUAUGUAGGAGCCACUGGGAGGCCGGUGUAGCCGGAAUGUAUGUCACAGGGAGAGUGGCCCAAGAUGAGGUUAGAGGUGGACCUUGUCACGCUGAGUCUAUAGGUCACGGUGGGGAACGUGGACCAUUCCAAGCAGGGAAGGGACAGGAUCUGUUCCAGGCAAGGAGCCCUGGGGGAUCCUCGGACCCUUGCUCUUGGCAGGGACCGAACAGUACGUGUUGGUUUGUUUUAAUGGCUAUUUGGUGGAGAAUGCAUUUGAGUGGACAAGAGACAUUUUAGGAGACCCUCGCCGUACUCCAAGCGGUGGUGGCUUGUGCCCUAGUAAUAGCCAUGGACGUGAAGAGAAGUCAAAGGAUGCGAAACAUACUUGAGGAGCGGAACUGAUAAGACUGCAAAUGAACUGAAUGUGCGUAAUGAGGAAAAGUGGAAGCCAGCCAAAUAUUAGACGACUGGCAUUGCCACUUACUGAGCUAGGGAAGGAUGAAGAGGGAACUGGUGAUGGCGGGCGAGGGCAUAUAGAGUUACUUUUGGGACAGUUUAAGUUUGAGAUGCUUCCGAACCAUGAGUCGGUUUCUGAGUCUGUCUAUCAAGGGAGAGGGCGGAGGCAGGAAUUCAGAGGAAGAGGUUGGCCCUGGUGGAACAGCUGAAACUCUAGCUGGGUAUUUAAGGAAGAGAAGAAUUUAGAGAAUUAGGGGAGGAAGAAGCCACUCAGGGUACUGAGAGCUAGAGGUUGAUCUAACUGGAACAACAAAUAAUAAGCUUAGCUGCUUAGAGAUUUCUUGUAGGAAAAUGUUGAAAAGAACAUGUUGGAGAAAUAAGUAGGAGCCAGAUUGAGAGGAAUUUAAAUUCAAGCUAAUGUGGUUCUUUGUUUUGCUUAAUUUUAGGGAGCCCUCAAGGGUAAGUGGGUAGAGACGUGGAGAGGUAGGUGUUGUGUGACUGCGGGGUGUCAUUAAAACGACGUGUCAGUUUUGGAGGCAGGGAAAACCUUCGGCUGAUGUGAUCUCUUGGGAUAUCACUGCGAUAAUUGUGGUGUGAACGGAUGAAAGUUUGGGCUGAGACGAGGACAGAAACAGGAAGGAAGAGAAGGAUAAGUAACAUGAAAAAUAGCUGGUGCCUGAGACAUCAAGGGGGGAGGAGAAACAGAGGAAAUGAUUGGGUUACCACUAUGGAUGGGUUUUUUUUUUUUUCCUUCCUUAACCAACCAGGACACAUUGGCAACAUCUCCAAGCAGCGCACAGACCUGUGCCUUGCACUAUACUUUUGUUUCCAUGUGGCUGGCAUGGAUCUACAAGGCAACAGUGGGAGACAUCAGACAGAGCUAGUGAUUGCUGGGCCAGAGAAGGUCCAGCAUAGAAAUAAGGAAUGCUGAAGGAUAAGAUUAAUAUCUGCAAAAUCUACACUCUGAGCAAAGAAAUAUGCACAAUGAAAUAUGUCAUGCACUUCCCUUCUCCCCCAUAGCAUAGCAAUUGCUAUUUUCCGGUUCAAUUUCACACGAGGCCUUUUCUUUCAUGGGAAGGGGACAGUUACCAAGAAGUAAAUUUUGCAAAAGUACACAAAAUAAACAAUGGAAAAAAUAUUGUCACCAGCAGACGCUAGCUGAAUGACAAGACAGAUUGUCAGUUUUACUUCUGAUUUUGACGUUCUUGUUUUUGUUAUAUUGUUCAAACAGUACCUGGCCUAGGGCAGUUCUUUCCCUUUUGUGUCCUGGUUUUACCAUCCACAAAAGGGAAUCACCUGAUCUAGGGAGGUGCCAGCGAGUUGUAUUUGAGUGUAUAUGUGUGCAUGCAGAAUAAUACAUAUUCUUAUAAGGAACUUAGAAAAUAUAGAAGAAUAAAAUAGACAGUAAAUACUGACAAAUGGGACUGAGCAAAACAAUAUUAAACAUAAUGCAUCCUUUCCAAAGCAUCAUAUUCCAACCAGCAAGGAAAGAUUUAAUGGUAGUAAUAAGUGACUUGCUCACACACUAUGACGGGUAGGAAGAGUGGCCCUCAUGAUUCAUUUUAAUAACAAAUGAAAAGAUAGGAUGGAUGCACACCACUGCCUUCCAUGGUGCCCACCUUCAUUCCACUGGUGACUGACAAAUUAUUCUGUAGCGCACCUAGGAAACAAUAUCAAACCCACUCCUAAUCAUUCAUCACGCGAUGGCUGUCCUGUCCGCGGGAACUCCAGUUAUAUUUAAUGCCCACUUGCCUUCAGUAAUUGCUGCUUCAUUCAGAGUGAAGUUAUCUAUUCUGGGUUUUGCAGAGACACCUGCAAUAAAAGCCUCCAGUUCUGGUCCUUCCAGAUUGUUAUGCGGGGGAUUCUGCCAUAAUGGAUCCUGCAAUAAAUGGGUGAAGAGCUGUCCUGGCUAAGGGGGCUGACAAGUUUAUUAUUAAACCGUAAUGAAGAGAUGUCGCAAAAAUCUCACGUGUACUUAAUGUCUGGUCUCGGGAGAGAGGAUCUCUGUAAAUUGCAGUUCCCCCUUGGCAUCGUCCGUGUUUUCUCUGGAUCCUGUAUCAACGAGCCCUCGUGGGGUCCCACAUUUCAGCAAAUCGCCCUGCUUCCCCCCACCUCUCUACACACUUUUUAUAUUCUCCAUAAAUAGCACCUGGUCCUGCAAUUCAUCUUCCACGCCUCAUUCAUUCUAAAUCUCAGCUUCUUGGCCCUGCUUCUGCCGUAUUAAAAUACUUCCCAAGGCAAGCUCAUGUUGAAAAAGAAAAUCAAUGGUUCUGAUUCAUCUGAUAUGAGCUUCUGGGUGUUUGGAUAAUUUAUUGUUCACUCUCAGGCAAUACCCCUGUGAUACCAUCAUUAAAUAUUAAAGGCGGUUUAAGGGCACUCUGCUUAUCAG